CCUACGGGUGGCAGCAGUGAGGAAUAUUGGUCAAUGGACGAGAGUCUGAACCAGCCAAGUAGCGUGAAGGAUGACUGCCCUAUGGGUUGUAAACUUCUUUUAUAUGGGAAUAAAAUGUUCCACGUGUGGGAUUUUGUAUGUACCAUAUGAAUAAGGAUCGGCUAACUCCGUGCCAGCAGCCGCGGUAAUACGGAGGAUCCGAGCGUUAUCCGGAUUUAUUGGGUUUAAAGGGAGCGUAGGUGGAUUGUUAAGUCAGUUGUGAAAGUUUGCGGCCCAACCGUAAAAUUGCAGUUGAAACUGGCAGUCUUGAGUACAGUAGAGGUGGGCGGAAUUCGUGGUGUAGCGGUGAAAUGCUUAGAUAUCACGAAGAACUCCGAUUGCGAAGGCAGUUCACUGGACUGCAACUGACACUGAGGCUCGAAAGUGUGGGUAUCAAACAGGAUUAGAUACCCGAGUAGUC
RNAcentral lists this ribosomal RNA (460 nucleotides) under uncultured bacterium. Its description in RNAcentral is "partial 16S ribosomal RNA". It matches the Rfam family "Bacterial small subunit ribosomal RNA", at positions 338 to 795 of the family's 1533-position model. The record is from RNAcentral.